RNAcentral lists this ribosomal RNA (465 nucleotides) under uncultured bacterium. RNAcentral's name for it is "partial 16S ribosomal RNA". It matches the Rfam family "Bacterial small subunit ribosomal RNA", at positions 338 to 795 of the family's 1533-position model. The record is from RNAcentral.
CCUACGGGAGGCAGCAGUAGGGAAUCUUCCACAAUGGGCGAAAGCCUGAUGGAGCAACGCCGCGUGGGUGAAGAAGGUCUUCGGAUCGUAAAACCCUGUUGUUAGAGAAGAAAGUGCGUGAGAGUAACUGUUCACGUUUCGACGGUAUCUAACCAGAAAGCCACGGCUAACUACGUGCCAGCAGCCGCGGUAAUACGUAGGUGGCAAGCGUUAUCCGGAUUUAUUGGGCGUAAAGGGAACGCAGGCGGUCUUUUAAGUCUGAUGUGAAAGCCUUCGGCUUAACCGGAGUAGUGCAUUGGAAGCUGGGAGACUGGAGUGCAGAAGAGGAGAGUGGAACUCCAUGUGUAGCGGUGAAAUGCGUAGAUAUAUGGAAGAACACCAGUGGCGAAAGCGGCUCUCUGGUCUGUAACUGACGCUGAGGUUCGAAAGCGUGGGUAGCAAACAGGAUUAGAUACCCUGGUAGUC